RNAcentral lists this ribosomal RNA (446 nucleotides) under uncultured bacterium. RNAcentral's name for it is "partial 16S ribosomal RNA". It matches the Rfam family "Bacterial small subunit ribosomal RNA", at positions 338 to 795 of the family's 1533-position model. The record is from RNAcentral.
CCUACGGGGGGCAGCAGUAGGGAAUUUUCGGCAAUGGGGGGAACCCUGACCGAGCAACGCCGCGUGAACGAAGAAGUUAUUCGUAAUGUAAAGUUCUUUUAACAGGGAAGAAAGAGAAAUUUGACGGUACCUGAAGAAUAAGCUCCGGCUAACUACGUACCAGCAGCCGCGGUAAUACGUAGGGAGCGAGCGUUAUCCGGAAUUAUUGGGCGAAAAGGUUGCGUAGAUGGCAUAGUAAGUCUUUUGUAAAAAUGCUGGGCUCAACCCAGUAGGGCAAAAGAUACUGGAAAGCUAGAGUAUGACAGAGGCUAGUGGAACUACAUGUGUAGCGGUAAAAUGCGUAAAUAUAUGUAAGAACACCAGUGGCGAAGGCGGCUUGCUGGGUCGAUACUGACAUUGAGGCACGAAAGCGUGGGGAGCAAACAGGAUUAGAUACCCCUGUAGUC